Molecule: ribosomal RNA, 468 nt
Filed under: uncultured bacterium
Lineage: Bacteria
Description: bacterial SSU rRNA
Rfam family: Bacterial small subunit ribosomal RNA
Source: RNAcentral
GUCCAGACUCCUACGGGAGGCAGCAGUGAGGAAUAUUGGUCAAUGGGCGGGAGCCUGAACCAGCCAAGCCGCGUGAAGGAAGAAGGCGCCAAGCGUCGUAAACUUCUUUUGUCGGGGAACAAAGGGCGCCACGUGUGGCGUUGUGAGUGUACCCGAAGAAAAAGCAUCGGCUAACUCCGUGCCAGCAGCCGCGGUAAUACGGAGGAUGCGAGCGUUAUCCGGAUUUAUUGGGUUUAAAGGGCGCGUAGGCGGGAUGCCAAGUCAGCGGUAAAAAUGCGGUGCUCAACGCCGUCGAGCCGUUGAAACUGGCGUUCUUGAGUGGGCGAGAAGUACGCGGAAUGCGCGGUGUAGCGGUGAAAUGCAUAGAUAUCGCGCAGAACUCCGAUUGCGAAGGCAGCGUACCGGCGCCAGACUGACGCUGAGGCACGAAAGCGUGGGGAUCGAACAGGAUUAGAUACCCGAGUACCA